This 448-nucleotide ribosomal RNA is filed under the name uncultured bacterium. Its description in RNAcentral is "partial 16S ribosomal RNA". It matches the Rfam family "Bacterial small subunit ribosomal RNA", at positions 29 to 523 of the family's 1533-position model. The record is from RNAcentral.
AACGAACGCUGGCGGCAUGCCUAACACAUACAAGUCGAACGAGAUCUUCGGGUCUAGUGGCGCACGGGUGCGUAACGCGUGGGAAUCUGCCCUUUGGUUCGGAAUAACAGUUGGAAACGACUGCUAAUACCGGAUGAUGACGAAAGUCCAAAGAUUUAUCGCCAGAGGAUGAGCCCGCGUAGGAUUAGCUAGUUGGUGGGGUAAGGGCGCACCAAGGCGACGAUCCUUAGCUGGUCUGAGAGGAUGAUCAGCCACACUGGGACUGAGACACGGCCUGACUCCUACGGGAGGCAGCAGUGGGGAAUAUUGGACAAUGGGCGAAAGCCUGAUCCAGCAAUGCCGCGUGAGUGAUGAAGGCCUUAGGGUUGUAAAGCUCUUUUACCCGGGAUGAUAAUGACAGUACCGGGAGAAUAAGCUCCGGCUAACUCCGUGCCAGCCGCCGCCGUAA